UUCGCCUGUUUAUCAAAAACAUCUUUUCUCGUUAGUUUUUGAAGUAUGGCCUGCCCGCUGACUUUGGUGUUGAAGGGCCGCGGUAUUUUGACCGUGCAAAGGUAGCAUAGUCAUUAGUUCUUUAAUUGUGAUCUGGUAUGAAUGGCUUGACGAGGCAUGGGCUGUCUUAAUUUUGAAUUGUUUAUUGAAUUUGGUCUUUGGGUUAAAAUUCUUAGAUGUUUUUAUGGGACGAGAAGACCCUAUAGAGUUUAACAUUUGUUAUGGUCCCCUUUCUGUUUGUGAGGGUUCAUUGGGCCGUUAAAUAUGUUUUGUUGGGGUGAUGGGAGGGAUUAAUUUAACCCCUCCUUUUUGUUAUUAUAUUUAUUUAUAUUUACUUGAUCCAUUUAUUUUGAUUGUAAGAUUAAAUUACCUUAGGGAUAACAGCUAAACAAA
RNAcentral lists this ribosomal RNA (432 nucleotides) under Reticulitermes guangzhouensis. RNAcentral's name for it is "partial 16S ribosomal RNA". The record is from RNAcentral. Lineage: Eukaryota; Metazoa; Arthropoda; Insecta; Blattodea; Rhinotermitidae.